UGUGCCCACACCGUGCUGGGAUGGAAGGUCCCACGCUGCAUGGCUGGAGAAACCACUGCAGCCUCUGGGUUUCAGUGCGGGGCUCCUUCUGUUUCCUCAUGAGAUUUUGCUCUCAUCAACACAAGCUGGGAAAAGCCACCAGGCAUUCUUUGGCAUGGGAAUGCACCAGCACUCAAUUUGAAGACCUUUAUCAAACCACCCAGCGCAGCUCCAGCUUUGGUUCCAAUCACACACCCAGGGUGGGAGUGGCUGGGAUAGAUGUGCCGCAACCAGACCAAAGCGCUGAAUAACUCCCAGGGAGUGAUGACGAAUCUGAU
Gallus gallus (chicken) is the source of this 317-nucleotide long non-coding RNA. Lineage: Eukaryota; Metazoa; Chordata; Aves; Galliformes; Phasianidae. The record is from Ensembl.